GCCACCCUGUAGCAGGAAAUCCUUGGCAAGGGGUCUCUGAGAGUCACAAAUAAAUCUUCACACUAAUUAAACAAAUUAAUUGUCUCCUGCAAAUCCCCCCCUCC
Non-coding RNA from Pseudonaja textilis, 104 nucleotides. The record is from RefSeq and is a predicted model, not a curated record. Lineage: Eukaryota; Metazoa; Chordata; Lepidosauria; Squamata; Elapidae.